UACAGAGGUCUCAAGCGUUGUUCGGAUUCAUUGGGCGUAAAGGGUGCGUAGGCGGCGCGGUAAGUCGGGUGUGAAAUCUCGGAGCUUAACUCCGAAACUGCAUUCGAUACUGCCGUGCUUGAGGACUGGAGAGGAGACUGGAAUUUACGGUGUAGCAGUGAAAUGCGUAGAGAUCGUAAGGAAGACCAGUGGCGAAGGCGGGUCUCUAGACAGUUCCUGACGCUGAGGCACGAAGGUCAGGGGAGCAAACGGG
Molecule: ribosomal RNA, 253 nt
Filed under: uncultured bacterium
Lineage: Bacteria
Description: partial 16S ribosomal RNA
Rfam family: Bacterial small subunit ribosomal RNA
Source: RNAcentral